UGGAGUCCCAGUAUGUCUUUUCAGUCAUGAUUCCCAUUCCUAUGGCUGCGAUUUUGAUUGGCUGCACCCAAGGGUACAAUUAGUUCUCUGGGUGUGAUGACCAACAUUAUGGGAGCACAGAGUGAGACGAGACCUGACUGCUACAAGGAAAGUCCAAGAAGCCAUGUUGCUUCAUGAACUGCCCACGCAGUACGAGGCUAAGAAAACAACCCGGGUGACCUCCAGCAUUUUUGAGGCAUGGAUCAGGAACGUGGACAAGGCAUAUCAGUGAAAGAAAAGGAAGAUUGCCAUCAUUACCGACAGUUU
Molecule: long non-coding RNA, 306 nt
Organism: Carcharodon carcharias (great white shark)
Lineage: Eukaryota; Metazoa; Chordata; Chondrichthyes; Lamniformes; Lamnidae
Exons: 3
Source: RefSeq, a predicted model, not a curated record